Molecule: non-coding RNA, 1160 nt
Organism: Podarcis muralis (Common wall lizard)
Lineage: Eukaryota; Metazoa; Chordata; Lepidosauria; Squamata; Lacertidae
Source: RefSeq, a predicted model, not a curated record
CGAGCGCACGAGGCGCGCGUUACUUGGCAUUUGAAAAUGACGCCGGAGCGCAAGAAGGCGGCCCUCAGCGCCUCAGGAUUCCCUUCCGAAGUAAGUGCUGAAGCCAUAAGUAGUCUAGAAACUGGACUGUUACUUUCAACAAAGAUAUAAUUGGAAGGUUUCCCCACAAAAGUUCUACUCAGGAAAGCUUAUACGGCAAAGUCCCAGAUGUUUACAGCUGCUUCUCUAUGGAGACAAAUUUAUAUUUAGGAAGACCACUAGUUCUUUGUAGUACUGUGAAGUCCAGCCCCUGAAUGGCACCAAGACAAGACUCAGCAUUACGGAAGGAGGAAUCAUUUCGCUGCAGCACAGGAGAAGCCAUGGCAGGAAAAUUGGCCCUUCAUCAUCUCUUAACCAUUUUUAGCAGCCUCUAGUAAGGCCUGCCAAUUAACAGUAGCAAAGUUUCUCAAUUUUGUUUUCCCAUUGCACAUAACCCUCUGGGCAAGCUGGAUAAUCAUCUCCUUUUGACUUCUUGCUAGCAUGCCUGCUUUCGCACACUGCAAAAUCAAGAGUGGCAAAAGGUCUCCCUCCCCUUUGGAUCUGUGUUCAUUCCAAACCCUUGAAGUAGCAAACAUUUCACCCAGCUUUUAGUUUAUGAUGAAAACAUGGAGCAAAAAAGAAAAGAAAACGAAAACAAGUAUUCAGAUAUUACAUCUUAAAAUAGUUCAAUGUUUUUUUUGACAAUGUGCUAUUCUGCAACAGAACAUCCCAGUUGAACCCAACAGAUUAGAGGGCAGUGCCGACUGCAAUACACAGCCUCCAUUCAUCUGAAAAGGGCUUGUGGGCACAAGACCCAUUGAACCAGUUGAGAAUUGCAUACUGACACCGCUUUGUGGGUAACAUUGAAAUUACAAUAUCAUAGAAUGGAACCAUAUCAGCUAUUGUCCUUUUGUUGGUAUGGGUUUUACUUUCUAACACAGUACUCCAUUCCUACUUAGUACUGGGCCCGUUUCCAUUUAAGUUCAUACCCUUAUUUUGGUUGAAGCACUCACAAAACCUAUCAUCAAUGGGAGGAACCCAUUCACUGUGGUUUGAUCACACAACUACAACCUACCAGAGCUUUCUAAACUUUUCAUGUUGGUGACACACUUUUUAGACAUGCAUCAUUUCACAACACAGUA